UGGGGAAUUUUGGACAAUGGGCGCAAGCCUGAUCCAGCAAAGCCGCGUGCAGGAUGAAGGCCUUCGGGGUGUAAACUGCUUUUGUACGGGAAGAAACCACCCCUCGUGAGGGGUAUUGACGGUACCGUAAGAAUAAGGAUCGGCUAACUCCGUGCCAGCAGCCGCGGUAAUACGUAGGGUGCGAGCGUUAAUCGGAAUUACUGGGCGUAAAGCGUGCGCAGGCGGUCUUGUAAGACAGUCGUGAAAGCCCCGGGCUUAACCUGGGAACUGCGAUUGUGACUGCAAGGCUAGAGUGUGUCAGAGGGGGGUGGAAUUCCACGUGUAGCAGUGAAAUGCGUAGAGAUGUGGAGGAACACCGAUGGCGAAGGCAGCCCCCUGGGAUAACACUGACGCUCAUGCACGAAAGCGUGGGGAGCAAACA
RNAcentral lists this ribosomal RNA (421 nucleotides) under uncultured bacterium. Its description in RNAcentral is "bacterial SSU rRNA". It matches the Rfam family "Bacterial small subunit ribosomal RNA", at positions 355 to 774 of the family's 1533-position model. The record is from RNAcentral.